This 153-nucleotide small RNA is filed under the name Staphylococcus nepalensis. RNAcentral's name for it is "RNA S.aureus Orsay G". It matches the Rfam family "RNA S.aureus Orsay G". The record is from RNAcentral. Lineage: Bacteria; Bacillati; Bacillota; Bacilli; Caryophanales; Staphylococcaceae.
UAACAAGGGGGUAGCGAAAAGAUGGCAAAGGGGUAGCUAUUACAUAUAGUUUUGUUAACAUCUUUUUCGUACGAGUUACUAAGCAAACAUCUUCAAUAUUUAUUACUUACUUUCCUUUCUAUUUAGCCGACUAGCAUAGCUAGUUGGCUUUAU